RNAcentral lists this ribosomal RNA (447 nucleotides) under uncultured bacterium. Its description in RNAcentral is "partial 16S ribosomal RNA". It matches the Rfam family "Bacterial small subunit ribosomal RNA", at positions 29 to 523 of the family's 1533-position model. The record is from RNAcentral.
AACGAACGCUGGCGGCAGGCUUAACACAUGCAAGUCGAGCGCCCCGCAAGGGGAGCAGCAGACGGGUGAGUAACGCGUGGGAAUCUACCCAUCCCUACGGAAUAGCUCCGGGAAACUGGAAUUAAUACCGUAUACGCCCUACGGGGGAAAGAUUUAUCGGGGAUGGAUGAGCCCGCGUUGGAUUAGCUAGUUGGUGGGGUAAAAGCCUACCAAGGCGACGAUCCAUAGCUGGUCUGAGAGGAUGAUCAGCCACAUUGGGACUGAGACACGGCCCAAACUCCUACGGGAGGCAGCAGUGGGGAAUAUUGGACAAUGGGGGCAACCCUGAUCCAGCCAUGCCGCGUGAGUGAUGAAGGCCUUAGGGUUGUAAAGCUCUUUCACCGGGGAAGAUAGUGACGGUACCCGGAGAAGAAGCCCCGGCUAACUUCGUGCCAGCCGCCGCCGUAA